Molecule: ribosomal RNA, 274 nt
Filed under: uncultured bacterium
Lineage: Bacteria
Description: partial 16S ribosomal RNA
Rfam family: Bacterial small subunit ribosomal RNA
Source: RNAcentral
AUACGGAGGGAGCGAGCGUUAAUCGGAAUUACUGGGCGUAAAGCGCGCGUAGGCGGCUUUGUAAGUCGGAUGUGAAAGCCCUGGGCUCAACCUGGGAAUUGCAGUCGAAACUGCUUAACUAGAGUAUGGUAGAGGGAAGUGGAAUUUCCGGUGUAGCGGUGAAAUGCGUAGAUAUCGGAAGGAACACCAGUGGCGAAGGCGACUUCCUGGGCCAAUACUGACGCUGAGGUGCGAAAGCGUGGGGAGCAAACAGGAUUAGAAACCCCAGUAGUCC